UACGUAGGUGGCAAGCGUUGUCCGGAAUUAUUGGGCGUAAAGCGCGCGCAGGCGGCCUUGUAAGUCUGUUGUUUAAACUCGGAGCUCAACUUCGAGUCGCAAUGGAAACUGCAAAGCUUGAGUACAGAAGAGGAAAGUGGAAUUCCAUGUGUAGCGGUGAAAUGCGUAGAGAUGUGGAGGAACACCAGUGGCGAAGGCGACUUUCUGGGCUGUAACUGACGCUGAGGCGCGAAAGCGUGGGGAGCAAACAGG
This 252-nucleotide ribosomal RNA is filed under the name uncultured bacterium. Its description in RNAcentral is "partial 16S ribosomal RNA". It matches the Rfam family "Bacterial small subunit ribosomal RNA", at positions 524 to 776 of the family's 1533-position model. The record is from RNAcentral.